UAGCUAGUUGGUGAGGUAAAGGCUUACCAAGGCGACGAUCUGUAGCGGGUCUGAGAGGAUGAUCCGCCACACUGGAACUGAGACACGGUCCAGACUCCUACGGGAGGCAGCAGUGGGGAAUUUUGGACAAUGGGGGCAACCCUGAUCCAGCCAUGCCGCGUGAGUGAAGAAGGCCUUCGGGUUGUAAAGCUCUUUCGGCCGGGAAGAAAUCGCAUGGGCCAAUACCCUGUGUGGAUGACGGUACCGGAAUAAGAAGCACCGGCUAACUACGUGCCAACAGCCGCGGUAAUACGUAGGGUGCGAGCGUUAAUCGGAAUUACUGGGCGUAAAGCGUGCGCAGGCGGUUUUGUAGGACAGGCGUGAAAUCCCCGGGCUUAACCUGGGAACUGCGUUUGUGACUGCAAGGCUAGAGUACGGCAGAGGGGGGUGGAAUUCCACGUGUAGCAGUGAAAUGCGUAGAGAUGUGGAGGAACACCAAUGGCGAAGGCAGCCCCCUGGGUCGAUACUGACGCUCAUGCACGAAAGCGUGGGUAGCAAACAGGAUUAGAUACCCUGGUAGUCCACGCCCUAAACUAUGUCAACUAGGUGUUGGGUGGGUAAAACCAUUUAGUACCGUAGCUAACGCGUGAAGUUGACCGCCUGGGGAGUACGGCCGCAAGGUUAAAACUCAAAGGAAUUGACGGGGACCCGCACAAGCGGUGGAUGAUGUGGAUUAAUUCGAUGCAACGCGAAAAACCUUACCUACCCUUGACAUGCCAGGAACUUGCCAGAGAUGGCUUGGUGCCCGAAAGGGAGCCUGGACACAGGUGCUGCAUGGCUGUCGUCAGCUCGUGUCGUGAGAUGUUGGGUUAAGUCCCGCAACGAGCGCAACCCUUGUCGUUAAUUGCCAUCAUUUAGUUGGGCACUUUAACGAGACUGCCGGUGACAAACCGGAGGAAGGUGGGGAUGACGUCAAGUCCUCAUGGCCCUUAUGGGUAGGGCUUCACACGUCAUACAAUGGUCGGUACAAAGGGUUGCCAAGCCGCGAGGCGGAGCCAAUCCCAGAAAGCCGAUCGUAGUCCGGGUUGCAGGCUGCAACUCGCCUGCAUGAAGUCGGAAUCGCUAGUAAUCGUGGAUCAGCAUGUCACGGUGAAUACGUUCCCGGGUCUUGUACACACCGCCCGUCACACCAUGGGAGCGGGUUCCGCCAGAAGUAGGUAGCCUAACCGCAAGGGGGGCGCUUACCACGGCGGGGUUCGUGACUGGGGUGAAGUCGUAACAAGGUAGCCGUAGGGGGACCUGCGGCUG
RNAcentral lists this ribosomal RNA (1287 nucleotides) under metagenome. RNAcentral's name for it is "bacterial SSU rRNA". It matches the Rfam family "Bacterial small subunit ribosomal RNA", at positions 242 to 1520 of the family's 1533-position model. The record is from RNAcentral.